RNAcentral lists this ribosomal RNA (116 nucleotides) under Kiritimatiellia bacterium. Lineage: Bacteria; Pseudomonadati; Kiritimatiellota; Kiritimatiellia. The record is from RNAcentral.
CCCGGUAAUUAUAGCGAGGAUGUCACACCCGUUCCCAUCCCGAACACGGUCGUUAAGCUCCUCAGCGGCGAUGGUACUAUCCUGUUAUGGGAUGGGAGAGUAGCACGUUGCCGGGU